UGUCAUGAUGAUUUUUGCAGACUAGAGUCUCUGACUUACUCUGAUGUCCUUUCACUGCACUGAACA
This is a small nucleolar RNA of Engraulis encrasicolus (European anchovy), 66 nucleotides long. RefSeq annotates it as small nucleolar RNA SNORD52. The transcript has a single exon. Lineage: Eukaryota; Metazoa; Chordata; Actinopteri; Clupeiformes; Engraulidae. The record is from RefSeq and is a predicted model, not a curated record.